Heterocephalus glaber (naked mole-rat) is the source of this 102-nucleotide small nuclear RNA. Lineage: Eukaryota; Metazoa; Chordata; Mammalia; Rodentia; Bathyergidae. The record is from Ensembl.
AUGCUCACUUUGGCAGCACAUAUACUAAAAUUGGAAAAAUACACAGAUUAGUACAGUCCCUGUGCAAGGAUGAUAUGCAAUUUCAUAGUGUUUCAUAUAUUU